Molecule: ribosomal RNA, 479 nt
Filed under: uncultured bacterium
Lineage: Bacteria
Description: bacterial SSU rRNA
Rfam family: Bacterial small subunit ribosomal RNA
Source: RNAcentral
UCGAACGGCAGCACGGGNAGCAAUCCUGGUGGCGAGUGGCGAACGGGUGAGUAAUAUAUCGGAACGUGCCCAGUCGUGGGGGAUAACGCAGCGAAAGCUGUGCUAAUACCGCAUACGAUCUCUGGAUGAAAGCGGGGGACCUUUGGGCCUCGCGCGAUUGGAGCGGCCGAUAUCAGAUUAGCUAGUUGGUGGGGUAAAGGCCUACCAAGGCGACGAUCUGUAGCUGGUCUGAGAGGACGACCAGCCACACUGGAACUGGGACACGGUCCAGACUCCUACGGGAGGCAGCAGUGGGGAAUUUUGGACAAUGGGCGCAAGCCUGAUCCAGCAAUGCCGCGUGCAGGAUGAAGGCCUUCGGGUUGUAAACUGCUUUUGUACGGAACGAAACGGUCUUUUCUAACAAAGAAGGCUAAUGACGGCACCGUAAGAAUAAGCACCGGCUAACUACGUGCCAGCAGCCGCGGUAAUACGUAGGGUGC